UGAGCAAUCUGCCCUUCUCAUCGGAAUAAGCGUUGGAAACGACGUCUAAUGCCGAAUACGACCUCCUUUCGCAUGAUCGGAGGUGGAAAGCUCCGGCGGAGAAGGAUGAGCUCGCGGCCUAUCAGCUAGUUGGUGUGGUAAUGGCCCACCAAGGCGACGACGGGUAGCCGGCCUGAGAGGGUCGACCCGGCCACACGUGGGACUGAGACACCGGCCCAGACCUCCGUACGGGAGCACG
RNAcentral lists this ribosomal RNA (238 nucleotides) under uncultured bacterium. RNAcentral describes it as "partial 16S ribosomal RNA". It matches the Rfam family "Bacterial small subunit ribosomal RNA", at positions 118 to 347 of the family's 1533-position model. The record is from RNAcentral.